Molecule: ribosomal RNA, 253 nt
Filed under: uncultured bacterium
Lineage: Bacteria
Description: partial 16S ribosomal RNA
Rfam family: Bacterial small subunit ribosomal RNA
Source: RNAcentral
UACGUAGGGAGCAAGCGUUGUCCGGAAUCAUUGGGCGUAAAGCGCGCGUAGGUGGCCAUGUAAGUCCGCUGUGAAAGUCAAAGGCUCAACCUUUGAAAGCCGGUGGAUACUGCAUGGCUAGAGUACGGAAGAGGCGAGUGGAAUUCCUGGUGUAGCGGUGAAAUGCGCAGAUAUCAGGAGGAACACCGGUGGCGAAGGCGGCUCUCUGGACCUGUCCUGACGCUCAGGCGCGAAAGCUAGGGGAGCAAACAGG